GACGAACGCUGGCGGCGGGCUUAACACAUGCAAGUCGAACGGAAAGGCCCUGCUUUUGUGGGGUGCUCGAGUGGCGAACGGGUGAGUAACACGUGAGUAACCUGCCCUUGACUUUGGGAUAACUUCAGGAAACUGGGGCUAAUACCGGAUAGGAGCUCCUGCUGCAUGGUGGGGGUUGGAAAUUUUCGGCGGUUGGGGAUGGACUCGCGGCUUAUCAGCUUGUUGGUGGGGUAGUGGCUUACCAAGGCUUUGACGGGUAGCCGGCCUGAGAGGGUGACCGGCCACAUUGGGACUGAGAUACGGCCCAGACUCCUACGGGAGGCAGCAGUGGGGAAUAUUGCACAAUGGGCGGAAGCCUGAUGCAGCAACGCCGCGUGCGGGAUGACGGCCUUCGGGUUGUAAACCGCUUUCGCCUGUGACGAAGCGUGAGUGACGGUAAUGGGUAAAGAAGCACCGGCUAACUACGUG
Molecule: ribosomal RNA, 468 nt
Filed under: uncultured bacterium
Lineage: Bacteria
Description: partial 16S ribosomal RNA
Rfam family: Bacterial small subunit ribosomal RNA
Source: RNAcentral